GACGAACGCUGGCGGCGUGCCUAAUACAUGCAAGUAGAACGCUGAAGGAGGAGCUUGCUUCUCUGGAUGAGUUGCGAACGGGUGAGUAACGCGUAGGUAACCUGCCUGGUAGCGGGGGAUAACUAUUGGAAACGAUAGCUAAUACCGCAUAAUAGCAGUUAUUGCAUGAUAACUGUUUGAAAGGUGCAAUUGCACCACUACCAGAUGGACCUGCGUUGUAUUAGCUAGUUGGUGGGGUAACGGCUCACCAAGGCGACGAUACAUAGCCGACCUGAGAGGGUGAUCGGCCACACUGGGACUGAGACACGGCCCAGACUCCUACGGGAGGCAGCAGUAGGGAAUCUUCGGCAAUGGACGGAAGUCUGACCGAGCAACGCCGCGUGAGUGAAGAAGGUUUUCGGAUCGUAAAGCUCUGUCGUAAGAGAAGAACGAGUGUGAGAGUGGAAAGUUCACACUGUGACGGUAUCUUACCAGAAAGGGACGGCUAACUACGUGCCAGCAGCCGCGGUAAUACGUAGGUCCCGAGCGUUGUCCGGAUUUAUUGGGCGUAAAGCGAGCGCAAGCGGUUAGAUAAGUCUGAAGUUAAAGGCUGUGGCUUAACCAUAGUACGCUUUGGAAACUGUUUAACUUGAGUGCAAGAGGGGAGAGUGGAAUUCCAUGUGUAGCGGUGAAAUGCGUAGAUAUAUGGAGGAACACCGGUGGCGAAAGCGGCUCUCUGGCUUGUAACUGACGCUGAGGCUCGAAAGCGUGGGGAGCAAACAGG
This 763-nucleotide ribosomal RNA is filed under the name uncultured Streptococcus sp. RNAcentral describes it as "bacterial SSU rRNA". It matches the Rfam family "Bacterial small subunit ribosomal RNA", at positions 28 to 776 of the family's 1533-position model. The record is from RNAcentral. Lineage: Bacteria; Bacillati; Bacillota; Bacilli; Lactobacillales; Streptococcaceae.